UGAGUGAGCCGGACAGUCGCGUGCGUUUUUGCGUAUGAGGAAAGUCCGAGCAUCACAGGGCAGGAUAACGGCUAACGGCCGCCGAGGGUGACCUUAGGGAAAGUGCAACAGAGAUAUACCGCCGUAGUAUUACGGUAAGGGUGGAAAGGCGAGGUAAGAGCUCACCGGCACGCAGGAGACUGCGUGGCCCUGCAAACCCUAUCCGAUGCAACGCCGACCGAAGCAAUACAUUGGCCCGAUGUGCUUCAACGGGCGGCUGGAGCUGUGUGGCAACACACAGUCGAGAUAGAUGACUGUCCACGACAGAACUCGGCUUACAGGCUCACUCAACAA
RNAcentral lists this RNase P RNA (333 nucleotides) under Clostridia bacterium. Its description in RNAcentral is "RNase P RNA component class A". It matches the Rfam family "Bacterial RNase P class A". From Rfam's summary of the family: Ribonuclease P (RNase P) is a ubiquitous endoribonuclease, found in archaea, bacteria and eukarya as well as chloroplasts and mitochondria. Its best characterised activity is the generation of mature 5'-ends of tRNAs by cleaving the 5'-leader elements of precursor-tRNAs. Lineage: Bacteria; Bacillati; Bacillota; Clostridia. The record is from RNAcentral.